GUGGAGAUGGCUCAGUGGUUAAGAGCACUGACUGCUCUUCCAGAGGUCCUGAGUUCAAUUCCCAGCAACCACA
Rattus norvegicus (Norway rat) is the source of this 73-nucleotide non-coding RNA. The record is from Rfam. Lineage: Eukaryota; Metazoa; Chordata; Mammalia; Rodentia; Muridae.